RNAcentral lists this transfer RNA (84 nucleotides) under Pirellulimonas nuda. RNAcentral's name for it is "Planctomycetes bacterium Pla175 tRNA-Ser". It matches the Rfam family "tRNA". Rfam says of the family: Transfer RNA (tRNA) molecules are approximately 80 nucleotides in length. Their secondary structure includes four short double-helical elements and three loops (D, anti-codon, and T loops). The record is from RNAcentral. Lineage: Bacteria; Pseudomonadati; Planctomycetota; Planctomycetia; Pirellulales; Lacipirellulaceae.
GGAGGGUAGGCGAAUUGGCUAGCGGCCUGAUUGGAAUUCAGGUGCCCCGCAAGGGGUUGCGGGUUCGAGUCCCGUGCCCUCCGC